RNAcentral lists this transfer RNA (72 nucleotides) under Ovis aries (sheep). It matches the Rfam family "tRNA". Rfam says of the family: Transfer RNA (tRNA) molecules are approximately 80 nucleotides in length. Their secondary structure includes four short double-helical elements and three loops (D, anti-codon, and T loops). Further hydrogen bonds mediate the characteristic L-shaped molecular structure. tRNAs have two regions of fundamental functional importance: the anti-codon, which is responsible for specific mRNA codon recognition, and the 3' end, to which the tRNAs corresponding amino acid is attached (by aminoacyl-tRNA synthetases). tRNAs cope with the degeneracy of the genetic code in two manners: having more than one tRNA (with a specific anti-codon) for a particular amino acid; and 'wobble' base-pairing, i.e. permitting non-standard base-pairing at the 3rd anti-codon position. RNAcentral also lists the same sequence under 1 other name. The record is from Rfam by way of RNAcentral. Lineage: Eukaryota; Metazoa; Chordata; Mammalia; Artiodactyla; Bovidae.
UCCCUUGUGGCUUAGCUGGUAAAGAAUCCACCUGCAAUGUGGGAGACCUGGGUUUGAUCCCUGGUUUGGGAA